Molecule: ribosomal RNA, 632 nt
Filed under: uncultured bacterium
Lineage: Bacteria
Description: bacterial SSU rRNA
Rfam family: Bacterial small subunit ribosomal RNA (bases 1-538)
Source: RNAcentral
CCUACGGGAGGCAGCAGUAAGGAAUAUUGGUCAAUGGAGGCAACUCUGAACCAGCCAUGCCGCGUGCAGGAAGACUGCCCUAUGGGUUGUAAACUGCUUUUAUCCGGGAAUAAACCUACUUACGUGUAAGUAGCUGAAUGUACCGGAAGAAUAAGGAUCGGCUAACUCCGUGCCAGCAGCCGCGGUAAUACGGAGGAUCCAAGCGUUAUCCGGAUUUAUUGGGUUUAAAGGGUGCGUAGGCGGCCUGUUAAGUCAGGGGUGAAAGACGGUAGCUCAACUAUCGCAGUGCCCUUGAUACUGAUGGGCUUGAAUGGACUAGAGGUAGGCGGAAUGAGACAAGUAGCGGUGAAAUGCAUAGAUAUGUCUCAGAACACCGAUUGCGAAGGCAGCUUACUAUGGUCUUAUUGACGCUGAGGCACGAAAGCGUGGGGAUCAAACAGGAUUAGAUACCCUGGUAGUCCACGCCCUAAACGAUGAACACUCGCUGUUGGCGAUACACAGUCAGCGCGUAGACGAAGACGUUAAGUUAGUUCCUACCGUCGGGAGGUACGGCCCGCCGACGGGUAGAACGUACGAACGGAAGUUAGUACGGCGUAGAGACGUUAGCCGACGGACGACGACGAGGGAGGAGG